CUUCGCUGACGAGUGGCGGACGGGUGAGUAACACGUGGGUGAUCUGCCCUGCACUUCGGGAUAAGCUUGGGAAACUGGGUCUAAUACCGGAUAGGAGCCAUCUUUAGUGUGGUGGUUGGAAAGUUUUUCGGUGUAGGAUGAGCUCGCGGCCUAUCAGCUUGUUGGUGGGGUAAUGGCCUACCAAGGCGGCGACGGGUAGCCGGCCUGAGAGGGUGUACGGCCACAUUGGGACUGAGAUACGGCCCAG
Molecule: ribosomal RNA, 247 nt
Filed under: uncultured Actinomycetales bacterium
Lineage: Bacteria; Bacillati; Actinomycetota; Actinomycetes; Actinomycetales
Description: partial 16S ribosomal RNA
Rfam family: Bacterial small subunit ribosomal RNA
Source: RNAcentral